This 30-nucleotide small RNA is filed under the name Bombyx mori (domestic silkworm). RNAcentral's name for it is "ovarian small RNA-15139". The record is from RNAcentral. Lineage: Eukaryota; Metazoa; Arthropoda; Insecta; Lepidoptera; Bombycidae.
GAACCGGAAACUGCGUCUUUGAUGGCCUUC